ACAACAUUCGGACCGUCGGUCUACCGAGCAAUAUCACUCGCUCGAUGGAAGAUCUUCCCUUUGGCGU
Molecule: microRNA precursor, 67 nt
Filed under: Bombyx mori (domestic silkworm)
Lineage: Eukaryota; Metazoa; Arthropoda; Insecta; Lepidoptera; Bombycidae
Description: mir-2774 microRNA precursor family
Rfam family: mir-2774 microRNA precursor family
Source: Rfam by way of RNAcentral